Cimex lectularius (bed bug) is the source of this 360-nucleotide long non-coding RNA. RefSeq lists it as uncharacterized. The transcript has 2 exons. NCBI's taxonomy places the organism in Eukaryota, Metazoa, Arthropoda, Insecta, Hemiptera, Cimicidae. The record is from RefSeq and is a predicted model, not a curated record.
CUCUGAUAUGUAACAGCUUUGAAAGAUACUCGACAAUUACAGAACCAUAAAGAUGCUUCCUAUCAGAAGAAACAAAAAACAUAGUAAAGGAGAGAGAAAAACCUAAAAGAACUAAGAGGAUUAGGAAGAUAAGAUGUAUUAGAUUCUACCCAGAAAAAAAAUAUUAUAUGAAGAAAAAUGGUAAAAAUCACAUGCGAAUGGAGCAGGUAGAGGUCCUCUUCCAAAAGAAAGAAAAUUAUGGAAAGAAACCUUAUUUUUCGAAGAUAAAGAAAUAGAAGAGACUAAAAUUACUUUAAAAAUAGCAAGUCAACAAGCAGUGACAUAACAAAUGAAUUUUACAAAAUUACAUAUAUUUUGCUG